RNAcentral lists this long non-coding RNA (2440 nucleotides) under Sus scrofa (pig). RNAcentral's name for it is "lncRNA (ENSSSCG00060008446.1)". Lineage: Eukaryota; Metazoa; Chordata; Mammalia; Artiodactyla; Suidae. The record is from RNAcentral.
AUGGCAUAGACCAGCAGCUGCAGCUCUGAUUGGGCCACUAGCCUGGGAGCUUCCAUAUGCUGCAGCCCUAAAAAGACAAAAAAAAAAAUGCAUUAGUAUUUAUUCCAUUAUAAUUUUUGAUGAUGCAUUACUGUACUGAAUGUUUAUAUUUUGAAAUUAUCUGGUUAAUAAUAUGCUUUCUAAAGUUGUGCUUUAAUCAUGCUACUAUUUGCCACACUACCUACUAGGAACAAAAAAUAACAAUGAAAAUGAUGCAGUUCAACACUAAGUCAUGAAUAGCCAGAGGAAAACCCUGAUUGGAAAAAAUAAUCUGUUUCCUUAUUUCUAAUAUUUGUGCUUCUUCAGUCACAUCUCAUUUGAGCAUAUGUAUAUCUGGAUGUUUGUUUUAUCGGGUUUGAACCACUUAUGGCUGCCAGUUUAUGGCUAAUCUUCAUCUUGAGAUAAUCAAAGAUUGCUGUCAUCUUUUGUGCAUUCAUGAUACAAUUGCAUGAGCAUAUCUCAGGAUAAGUAUUUUCUAUUACUGAAAAUUAACUUAAGAGACAAAUGGAUUUUUUAAAAUUUAUUAUUUUUAUUAACAAGAUUUAGGCUAUUUUUUUCAUUUCUCCAAUACAUUAUUUAUUCUAGAAUUGAUGGUGAUGAAACUUCUUACCACUUGGAAAUUGUGUAAGGUUUAUUAGGCCUAGGAAAAAGUACUGAGUAAUUUUAUUUCGGCCUUUACAUCAAAAUACCAUUUAGUGCUCCAAGUCUCUCUUUCACACGUUCUUGUCAGUCUGCAAACCCCUUCAGUUAUUAAGAGGACUUCCCAGUAUCACCUUUUCUACCUGUACUUCCAUUCAUUCAUUCAUUGUUUCUUUCAUUACAAACAUUUACUGAACACCUGCUAUUGUCAGACAUUGAAGUAGGUGCUAGGAUUACAAUGAUAAACCAAAUGGAUGAAUAAAACAUCAAGAUAUCAAAUGAUACAAUGAAAAUAAAAGGAUGUGACAAAGUGUGACUAGGGUCUUGUUUGGACUGGAUAGUUGGGGAAGGAAUCUUUGAGGAGAUGACAUGUAAGUGGAAAUGUGAUUGACAAGUAAUUAGAUACGGGAGACUUGGGUGGAACAGCAUUCCAAGCAGAAGAAAGACAGUGCUAGGGCUAUAAGGUGGAAAUUAAACUGGGGGUAUUCAAGGAAGAGAUUAAAGGCAAGCUAGGGCUGGAGUAUAGGACCAAGUGGAAGAUGGGAAAGAGAUGGGUUUGAUGAAGGAGACAGGGACCCCUUCACAUGAAACCUGUUAGGCAGGGUGGGGCAUCUAGUUAUUAUUCUGAAGGCUAUGAGAAAGCACAGAGGGCUUCACUCAGCAGGGCCACUAGGAUCUGAUCUGCACUUAGAACACUGCUGUCUUUGUGGAGACGAAAUGCAAGUCUGGAGAGCAGCUGGGAGGCUAUCACCUCAGCCCAGGUGAGAGAUGAUGCAGUCUUCAGCUUGGGCAGCUGAUGCCCAAGGAAAUGGUAAGGAGUGGAUGGAAUUGCUAUAUGUUUUAAAGACAGAUUCAGUGGGGCUUGUUGGUUGAUUUGAUGGGAUGAAGGGUAAAAGGAAGAGAGGAAUCAAGGAUGAUCACGUUAAAUAACAUUAUAAAUCAGCAAAAAUAUUCCCAACUUUCCAAAAAGAAUGGGAAACAGCUGCGCUUGCUGAAAUUCCAAUGAAGCGAUUAGAUUACAUGAGGUGCAUGCAUUUCAUUUUGGACAUGAAUGCCCAGAAGGCUGGUCUGUCAUCUGUGGUGGAGGACCCCCAAAUGAUGCUUUGAGCAGCACAGCCAAUUGUAAAAGCAGACAGGGCCCAAAUGGAUUUUUUUUUAUUUCUUUUUGACCUAUCCUGUGUAUCUUUUGUGGCUCUAAUCUGAUGAACAAAUAUCUAUAAGGAACUGCUUAAAGUCUAUAGGGUAUCACUAGAAUAGAGAAACUUCUAGAUUGACCAUCAAGAGGCUUAGACCUUAGUUCCACAAAAACUAUUGUCUGUAUAAAGUGGAGAAUUAGCUUCCGUAGUUUCAAGUCUGAAAUGGAUAUAAUUCCUACUUGCCUCUUAAAUAAACAUGUUGGUGUGGUAAAGUGACAUUUUGUUUUUGAAUAUGAUUGAGUACAUCACAAGAAAUGAAUGAUGCUAUAAAAGGGAUGAUAUAUUCAAAUUAAAAAAAAAAAAGGAAUUCCCAUUGUGGUGCAGCAGAAACAAAUCUGAUUAGUAACCAUGAGGUUGCAGGUUUGAUCCCUGGCCUUGCUCAGUGGGUUAAGGAUCCUGUGUUGCCGGGAGCUGUGGCGUAGGUCACAGAUGUGGCUUAGAUCCUGCAUUGUUAUGGCUGUGGCAUAGGCCCCUACACAACUGUAGCUCUGAUUCGACCCCUAGCCUGGAAUAUCCAUAUGCCACAGGUGUGGCCCUAAAAAAAAAAAAAAAAAAGGAAAAAAAAA